Molecule: long non-coding RNA, 225 nt
Organism: Amblyraja radiata (thorny skate)
Lineage: Eukaryota; Metazoa; Chordata; Chondrichthyes; Rajiformes; Rajidae
Exons: 3
Source: RefSeq, a predicted model, not a curated record
AGGGGGUGGGCCUCAUACAAACUUACCGAAUAAUGAAAGGCCUGGAUAGAGUGGAUGUGGAGAGGAUGUUUCCACUAGUUGGAGUAUCUAGGACCAGACGGCUCAGCCUCAGUAUAAAAGGACGUACCUUUAGAAAGGAGAUGAGGAGGAAUUUUUGUAGUCAGGGGUAUUUAAUCAUUGGAAUUAAUUGUCACUUAAGGCUGUGGUGGCCAAGUCAUUGGGUUA